GACGUAGGGCGCGAGCGUUGUCCGGAUUUAUUGGGCGUAAAGAGCUCGUAGGCGGCUUGUUGCGUCGGCUGUGAAAACCCGCGGCUUAACCGCGGGCCUGCAGCCGAUACGGGCAGGCUAGAGUUCGGUAGGGGAGACUGGAAUUCCUGGUGUAGCGGUGAAAUGCGCAGAUAUCAGGAGGAACACCGGUGGCGAAGGCGGGUCUCUGGGCCUUACCUGACGCUCAGGUGCGAAAGCUAGGGGAGCGAACAGG
This 253-nucleotide ribosomal RNA is filed under the name uncultured bacterium. RNAcentral's name for it is "partial 16S ribosomal RNA". It matches the Rfam family "Bacterial small subunit ribosomal RNA", at positions 524 to 776 of the family's 1533-position model. The record is from RNAcentral.